RNAcentral lists this ribosomal RNA (481 nucleotides) under Acanthamoeba sp. RNAcentral describes it as "SSU rRNA". It matches the Rfam family "Eukaryotic small subunit ribosomal RNA", at positions 586 to 942 of the family's 1831-position model. Lineage: Eukaryota; Discosea; Longamoebia; Acanthamoebidae. The record is from RNAcentral.
CAGCUCCAAUAGCGUAUAUUAAAGUUGUUGCAGUUAAAAAGCUCGUAGUUGGAUCUAGGGACGCGCAUUUCAAGCGCCCGUGUCGUCGGGUCAAACCGGCGACUGCGUUGGCGUUGCGGGCUCGGUCCGUCGGUGCCCCACAAAGGUUAUCGGCGUGUCAACCGGCCCGCCCGUCCCCUCCUUCUGGAUUCCCGUUCCUGCUAUUGAGUUAGUGGGGACGUCACAGGGGGUUCAACGCGUCGGUGGUGGAUCUCUGGGGCCCAGAUCGUUUACCGUGAAAAAAUUAGAGUGUUCAAAGCAGGCAGAUUCAAUUUUCUGCCACCGAAUACAUUAGCAUGGGAUAAUGGAAUAGGACCCUGUCCUCCUAUUUUCAGUUGGUUUUGGCAGCGCGAGGACUAGGGUAAUGAUUAAUAGGGAUAGUUGGGGGCAUUAAUAUUUAAUUGUCAGAGGUGAAAUUCUUGGAUUUAUGAAAGAUUAACUU